RNAcentral lists this long non-coding RNA (554 nucleotides) under Equus caballus (horse). RNAcentral's name for it is "lncRNA (ENSECAG00000054028.1)". The record is from RNAcentral. Lineage: Eukaryota; Metazoa; Chordata; Mammalia; Perissodactyla; Equidae.
CAGGCAUUGGCUGGGAGCAGCCCGUGGGGCACGUGGCUCAGGGACUAACGCGGUGAUGGAUUUCAGAGCCCAGCAGUGAGGGCCCUUAUGCUCCUUGCAGUCAGCGAUCUGAGAAGCCCAUUCUCGUGUCCACGAUCACAGCAGACAAUCGUAGCGCUCUAAACCUGUAGCUGAACUCAAAGUGCUUUAGAAUCAAGUCUCAUCCACCAUUCCAACUAGUGAAAGGCAAAAAGCCUGCUAGAUUCUUGAACACUAUUCGUGCAAAGGGGAGGCUCGUCUCCACAAUAUUUUGGCCAUGCAACUAGACAUCCCAGGGCAGAGGACAAGUACACUAAUGAAGACUCACAGAGCUCACUGAUCUAGACCGAAUCACGGUAUAGCAAACUGGAGAUGCCACAGUUAUGAACAGAAGCAAGCAGAGGAUGAAGCUGAUGGUGUCCAUGUUAGGAAAAGAGGCUGGACCUGUAUGUGCUUUACGUAUCCGAGGUACGCGUGGAGAGUAGCUGGAUUAGGUGAGUGCUGGAGGGAAGGCCACACCCCUGACUCUGAGCCCA